This 388-nucleotide long non-coding RNA is filed under the name Nicotiana benthamiana. Its description in RNAcentral is "long non-coding RNA (NBEN_LNC019334)". The record is from RNAcentral. Lineage: Eukaryota; Viridiplantae; Streptophyta; Magnoliopsida; Solanales; Solanaceae.
GGUUCAAGGAAGAAAAUAAAGGCAUGGAAGAUGAGCUAGAUGCUUACAAGAAGAGUUCCAAUCAGUAUCUAGACAGGGUAUCUUUCUUAGAGCGUGCUGAUUAUCGAGAAUUUGAGCGGGAGAGAGAUGCUCGUCUUGCGAUGCAAGCAAAGAGAAAACCAGAUAGUAUGAAAGAAGACUACUGAGAGCAUAUCGUCCAGGAGAUACUGGCAGUUGGGAUAAUGCAAGCAAAAAGAAAAUGGAAAAGAGGCUGUGGCAUUCUUGUCGAAAGAAAUUUGUAUCUGUGACCUAAAUUUUGUCUAUUUAGAUUCUAUUUACAAGAUAAAUUUUGUUUUUGUUUUUGUUUUAAUGCAGCUUUUCAUUCUAUCCUAUGCGCCGAGGGUCGAAU